GCCCUAAGUGGCUCCUAACUUGUGUCUGACGAACUUGGCCUUCCUCCAGUGACUGUGACUUGAAUUACAUCAACCUACCCUGUCCAUUCUAGGAACAGAAACUCUAAGCUCUAGCUCUACUCCUGCCCUAAGUGGCUCCUAACUUGUGUCUGACGAACUUGGCCUUCCUCCAGUGACUGUGACUUGAAUUACAUCAACCUACCCUGUCCAUUCUAGGAACAGAAACUCUAAGCUCUAGCUCUACUCCUGCCCUAAGUGGCUCCUAACUUGUGUCUGACGAACUUGGCCUUCCUCCAGUGACUGUGACUUGAAUUACAUCAACCUACCCUGUCCAUUCUAGGAACAGAAACUCUAAGCUCUAGCUCUACUCCUGCCCUAAGUGGCUCCUAACUUGUGUCUGACGAACUUGGCCUUCCUCCAGUGACUGUGACUUGAAUUACAUCAACCUACCCUGUCCAUUCUAGGAACAGAAACUCUAAGCUCUAGCUCUACUCCUGCCCUAAGUGGCUCCUAACUUGUGUCUGACGAACUUGGCCUUCCUCCAGUGACUGUGACUUGAAUUACAUCAACCUACCCUGUCCAUUCUAGGAACAGAAACUCUAAGCUCUAGCUCUACUCCUGCCCUAAGUGGCUCCUAACUUGUGUCUGACGAACUUGGCCUUCCUCCAGUGACUGUGACUUGAAUUACAUCAAGCUACCCUGUCCAUUCUAGGAACAGAAACUCUAAGCUCUAGCUCUACUCCUGCCCUAAGUGGCUCCUAACUUGUGUCUGACGAACUUGGCCUUCCUCCAGUGACUGUGACUUGAAUUACAUCAACCUACCCUGUCCAUUCUAGGAACAGAAAGUAUGUUUGGGCUCCAAUAUUGUUGAUGUGUUUGACUCCCAUUGGGUCCCCUAAAAGAGUUAACAACUGCUAGUUCUCCAGCCUCAAACAGCCAGCUACCUCUCGCUCCUUACCUCCCCCCCUUUUUUUCUGUACUCACUUCUCAUCCAGCUAC
Molecule: long non-coding RNA, 999 nt
Organism: Protopterus annectens (West African lungfish)
Lineage: Eukaryota; Metazoa; Chordata; Ceratodontiformes; Protopteridae
Exons: 4
Source: RefSeq, a predicted model, not a curated record